This is a long non-coding RNA of Phyllostomus discolor (pale spear-nosed bat), 114 nucleotides long. RefSeq lists it as uncharacterized. NCBI's taxonomy places the organism in Eukaryota, Metazoa, Chordata, Mammalia, Chiroptera, Phyllostomidae. The transcript has 3 exons. The record is from RefSeq and is a predicted model, not a curated record.
AACAUCUAAAAAUGGAGACAAGCAAUCUACUGGAUGCAGCGUUCAAAACACUGGUUAUAAGGAUGCUCAUUGAACUUAGGGGAAGAGUAAAUGAACUCAGAGAACUUCAACAGC